RNAcentral lists this unclassified non-coding RNA (299 nucleotides) under plant metagenome. RNAcentral describes it as "partial contains 5.8S ribosomal RNA, internal transcribed spacer 2, and large subunit ribosomal RNA". The stretch from base 1 to 105 matches the Rfam family "5.8S ribosomal RNA", at positions 50 to 154 of the family's 154-position model. The record is from RNAcentral.
GAAAUGCGAUAAGUAAUGUGAAUUGCAGAAUUCAGUGAAUCAUCGAAUCUUUGAACGCACAUUGCGCUCGCCAGUAUUCUGGCGAGCAUGCCUGUUCGAGCGUCAUUUCAACCAUCAAGCUCUGCUUGCGUUGGGGAUCCGCGGCUGCCCGCGGUCCCUCAAAAACAGUGGCGGGCUCGCUAGUCACACCGAGCGUAGUAACUCUACAUCGCUAUGGUCGUGCGGCGGGUUCUUGCCAUAAAACCCCCAAUUUCUAAGGUUGACCUCGGAUCAGGUAGGAAUACCCGCUGAACUUAAGC